Molecule: long non-coding RNA, 226 nt
Filed under: Setaria viridis
Lineage: Eukaryota; Viridiplantae; Streptophyta; Magnoliopsida; Poales; Poaceae
Description: long non-coding RNA (SVIR_LNC002234)
Source: RNAcentral
GACUUGGGGUUGGGGAAGAGACCGUGGUCCAGGGCUGCUUGGUUGCGGACAGCGCGGUCCCAGUGGCGAGAGAGCUUGCUGAUCUCCAGCUUGACAUCGUUGACAGUGGCGUCGAUCGUGGGGCGCCAAUCCUUGAAUGCCUUGGCGGACGGCUCCAGUUUGACGAUGCGGUCACCGUGAAGACGCUCAGCUUCCUGGAAAUGCUGCUCCCACUUGAGGUCGCUCU